CAUGAAAUUCGGGUAAUCGCUGCGGCGCUAGACGUCGUAGAGGAAAGUCCAUGCUCACACGGUUCUGAGAUGACUGUAGUGUUCGUGCUUACUGAAAAAAUAAGGUAAGGCAGCUGUAAAGGCUGACGGCGGAAGGAAAACCUAAGUCUUAAUGAUAUGGUUGAAACUUCCUGAAAGUGCCACAGUGACGUAGCUUGCUUGGAAACAUGCAAGGUGGAACGAGGUAAACCCCACGAGUGAGAAACCCAAAUUAUGGUAGGGGCACUCUCUAGAAGGAAUUGAACGGAUAGAGGGACAGAGUUCACUCUGUAGAUAGAUGAUUACUACCCGGUCGUACGAGGCGUCAGCUGUUUGAGUACUCGGGAACAAAACAUGGCUUACGGAAUUUUUUGAUGC
Molecule: RNase P RNA, 396 nt
Filed under: Bacillus decisifrondis
Lineage: Bacteria; Bacillati; Bacillota; Bacilli; Caryophanales; Bacillaceae
Description: bacterial RNase P
Rfam family: Bacterial RNase P class B
About the family: Ribonuclease P (RNase P) is a ubiquitous endoribonuclease, found in archaea, bacteria and eukarya as well as chloroplasts and mitochondria. Its best characterised activity is the generation of mature 5'-ends of tRNAs by cleaving the 5'-leader elements of precursor-tRNAs. Cellular RNase Ps are ribonucleoproteins.
Source: RNAcentral